GCUGCAAUUCUGAUACAUUAAGCAACAUUUACUUCCUGGAGAAAGGCCAUAGCUCAGUGGCAGAGUGCCUACUUCCCACAGAGAAGGUCCGAGGUUGCCAACUUUGCAAAAGGCAUCUGUAUUCAAGAUCCAGCAGGACACGGAAUAAUGACAAAUGUCACAACUCCUGACGGAAAUGCAACCAGACAAUCCCAUCAGCUCUUGGCCAGAAUGGGCACUGCUUAUGGGUUUCAGGGCAGCCCCAAAGGAUCACCACCGUGACCCUGACAUUAAUUCCAUCGUCUGUUCCCUGUGCUUCUGCACAGAUUCUCUUUCAUAUGUCUGGCAGUUGUUUCUUUCUGGGAGAAGACAUAAAUGGCAUUGCCCAUACACUCGC
This is a long non-coding RNA of Hemicordylus capensis (graceful crag lizard), 376 nucleotides long. RefSeq lists it as uncharacterized. The record is from RefSeq and is a predicted model, not a curated record. The transcript is spliced from 2 exons. Lineage: Eukaryota; Metazoa; Chordata; Lepidosauria; Squamata; Cordylidae.